Molecule: long non-coding RNA, 209 nt
Organism: Drosophila serrata
Lineage: Eukaryota; Metazoa; Arthropoda; Insecta; Diptera; Drosophilidae
Source: RefSeq, a predicted model, not a curated record
AAACUUUGAAGCCAUCUUUAACACAAUUUUAAUUAACACAAUGUCUACACGUUUGGAAACCAGCAGAACACGUUCCACAACCUGACAAGAACAGCUGUUGGAACCCAUGCGGCUUGGCGCCGGCAGAUAAAAACACCUUGGAUAUCUAAAAAAAUAACUUAAUGUUUGCAUAAUACGAAGCUAAUCUAAUAAACCACAAUCAAAACUCA